Molecule: non-coding RNA, 406 nt
Filed under: Hymenolepis diminuta
Lineage: Eukaryota; Metazoa; Platyhelminthes; Cestoda; Cyclophyllidea; Hymenolepididae
Description: Eukaryotic small subunit ribosomal RNA
Rfam family: Eukaryotic small subunit ribosomal RNA
Source: Rfam by way of RNAcentral
AGCCUGCAGCUUAAUUUGACUAAAUAUGGAAAAUCUCAUUCGGACCGGACGGAAUGAGGACUGACCGACUGAUAGCUCUUUCUUGAUUUGGGGGUUGUCGGUGCAUGUCAGUUCUUAAUUGGUGGAACAGUUUAUCUUAUUACUUCCAAUAACGAACAAGACUUUAACCCGCUAAUUAGUACAUUUGUCCACUGCAAUAGCCGAGCGGCACAGUGUCAAAUACUUGAAUUCAUUGUAGGAUCCAGUCCAUUUGUACAUCCUGUAUGAUCAUGUUGCUGUACGGUGUGGUCGUGUAUGGAUGUGUGCGUAUUUGGUCCACAGGUUGUACUCUGGUGGAUGGCAUCACGUCAAGUGUUUAACAUAACAUUACUGCUGUUAUAUGAAUUUCUUAAAAACCAUUUAAGCU